Long non-coding RNA from Xiphophorus couchianus (Monterrey platyfish), 922 nucleotides. RefSeq lists it as uncharacterized. The transcript is spliced from 2 exons. The record is from RefSeq and is a predicted model, not a curated record. NCBI's taxonomy places the organism in Eukaryota, Metazoa, Chordata, Actinopteri, Cyprinodontiformes, Poeciliidae.
AAUAAAUCACAUUUAUUUAAGUCUUUGCAGCUUUUGCCAAAACAGUUCAAAAUCAAUCUGUUUCCACUGAUCCUCCCUGAGAUGUUUCUACAAUUUAAACAGAGUCACUUUGUGGUGAAUUUAGCUGAUUGGACUGGACCUGGAAAGGCUCACAACUGUCUACAUAAGGCCCCACAGUUGGCAGUGCAGGUCAGAGGUAAAAACCCAAGCAUGAAAUCAAAUGAAUUGUCUGAGACGGGAAUGUCUCGAGGAACAAAUGUGAGGAGGGAUCCAGAAACAUUUCUGUCUCUGUUUCCCUCCAGAAACAGAAAUGUUUCAUCUCCAUGACGAUGGAAUCCAUCGUCAUGGAGAUCAGCACACAGAUGGCAUGUACCUCUCCUCAUCAAGGAGAGAAUGUGUUUUCUAUAGAGAUGAAUCUUCAAGAGCUGUUGGGAUAACGAGACAUCUUUGCUGGUGCUUCAUUCCUUUAUUCUGGAUCCACUGAUCGGAAAACAAGUCUGGACUGGGCCAGCAUUCUGCAAAGAGAUACCAGUACAAAACGACAAUAAUGAGAGAGGAAGACAACCGGACAGAAAGAGCAGAAGCUAAGAUCUGGAUGUUGGCCGUGGAUCAUUUGUGCCGUGCCGGUCCAGACCGUCCAGCAGCUCUGUUCUGUGUUGCUCUGAAGGCGGACCGUUGCCCUGCAGGCUUCCAGCCGCAUUCCUCAAGUUGUUCUUGGGCAUUUUAUUUGAUUUGUAGACCUUUUGGAUCCAAGAUGCAGCCACACAUUUCAUUGCAAUCAUAUAAGCAGUUUUGUUUCCUAUUUGCUCAGGAUUUCAACCAAUACAAUGUGACUUGUAUGACUGUUUUUAAAGGGUUAAAUCUGUUUAAAGCAGAUGAAUUGUGGUAUUUUUAAGGAUAUUUUUUCUGAGAGGAGAGAUAC